GCAUUAAUGGGGUAGUGGUAACCUGGGUCGUUGCCAUGGGCUAUCAUCAGGUACUUAAAUAGUUUCGACCCGCCGGGGGUUCGAUUCCCCCUUAAUGCA
RNAcentral lists this transfer RNA (99 nucleotides) under Lentinula raphanica. RNAcentral describes it as "tRNA-Gly". It matches the Rfam family "tRNA". Rfam says of the family: Transfer RNA (tRNA) molecules are approximately 80 nucleotides in length. Their secondary structure includes four short double-helical elements and three loops (D, anti-codon, and T loops). Further hydrogen bonds mediate the characteristic L-shaped molecular structure. tRNAs have two regions of fundamental functional importance: the anti-codon, which is responsible for specific mRNA codon recognition, and the 3' end, to which the tRNAs corresponding amino acid is attached (by aminoacyl-tRNA synthetases). tRNAs cope with the degeneracy of the genetic code in two manners: having more than one tRNA (with a specific anti-codon) for a particular amino acid; and 'wobble' base-pairing, i.e. permitting non-standard base-pairing at the 3rd anti-codon position. The record is from RNAcentral. Lineage: Eukaryota; Fungi; Basidiomycota; Agaricomycetes; Agaricales; Omphalotaceae.